GACGAACGCUGGCGGCGUGCUUAACACAUGCAAGUCGAGCGGUAAGGCUCCCUCGGGAGUACACGAGCGGCGAACGGGUGAGUAACACGUGAGUAAUCUGCCCUUCACUUCGGGAUAACCACCGGAAACGGUGGCUAAUACCGAAUACGACCAGUCUUCGCAUGAGGUGCUGGUGGAAAGUCUUUUCGGUGAAGGAUGUGCUCGCGGCCUAUCAGCUUGUUGGUGGGGUAAUGGCCUACCAAGGCUUCGACGGGUAGCCGGCCUGAGAGGGUGACCGGCCACACUGGGACUGAGACACGGCCCAGACUCCUACGGGAGGCAGCAGUGGGGAAUAUUGGACAAUGGGCGAAAGCCUGAUCCAGCAACGCCGCGUGAGGGAUGACGGCCUUCGGGUUGUAAACCUCUUUCAGUACCGACGAAGCGCCCUGUCGGGUGGUGACGGUAGGUACAGAAGAAGGACCGGCCAACUACGUG
RNAcentral lists this ribosomal RNA (474 nucleotides) under uncultured bacterium. Its description in RNAcentral is "partial 16S ribosomal RNA". It matches the Rfam family "Bacterial small subunit ribosomal RNA", at positions 28 to 507 of the family's 1533-position model. The record is from RNAcentral.